RNAcentral lists this long non-coding RNA (800 nucleotides) under Marmota monax (woodchuck). Lineage: Eukaryota; Metazoa; Chordata; Mammalia; Rodentia; Sciuridae. The record is from RNAcentral.
CUUGCCUCCCCCACCGUAGCCCACAGCCCUGGCGCCCGGCGCCCUCACCAGCAGGCACGGCAGCCAAGGUCGCCCCAGGCCCUUUUCUGUCACUUGCGCAAAUUGACAGCCGGUGACAGAAGUCCACUUCCACGAAAUUGAAAGCCCCAGGACUUGUACCCGCACCCGUCCCCUGUUACCCCCCGUUGGUGCCAUAUCUCUCCUUCCCUGGCCUUUCCAUCAUUAAUUGGAGAGCAUCUGUUCUUCCAUUGUGUUUCCACCACCACAUGGGUGGGAUUAUUAAUUGUCCCAGCAAGGCACUGUUGUAGGCGCUAAGGGACACAUAGAAGAGCAAAGCCUAAGCACUGCUCUCAAAGAACUUAAUAGUGAAAGUCCCAAAGUCUUAGUUAUUUAUGCUCAGUCUCUAAAAUUCAAGGUUAUUCGUAGCCCUUGAUGUACCCGACCUUAAUCUCUCCACAGUCAGGCACCAAGACACCAUACACAAGGUGUCCUCAGGAUUCUGCCCCUUGCCUUUCUUAUCUCUCCAAGACUUAUGCAUACUUUCACCUUCUGGACAGCCCAGACUGGAGAUGUGCCCUCUUGCUUUGCUCUUAUUUUUGUUUGCCCCACCCCCUCCCGUGGAAAUGUUUGUUGUAUCCAACACUUCUGUGAUCUUUUUGGUUAGUUAGAAUUAUGUUUUAUUAAAAUAAGAAUCCAUGUCUUUGGUAUGGUUAUUUCUGUUCAACAUUGUUUAUUUUGGAGUAGUUAAUAUAUACUUAUCCUCAGUGACUCAGAACGUGGUCAUAACAUGCUAUUGGGCU